CUUGCUUCUCGGCCUUUUGGCUAAGGUCAGGUGUAACAUCUGUUCUUAUCAGUUUAGUGUCUCAUACGUCCUUGAUGAGUGAACUUUAUAUUAAUGUUUGGGUGGGAUUGUUGAUCUGCU
Molecule: non-coding RNA, 120 nt
Organism: Columba livia (rock pigeon)
Lineage: Eukaryota; Metazoa; Chordata; Aves; Columbiformes; Columbidae
Source: Rfam